This 519-nucleotide ribosomal RNA is filed under the name uncultured eukaryote. Its description in RNAcentral is "bacterial SSU rRNA". It matches the Rfam family "Eukaryotic small subunit ribosomal RNA", at positions 1161 to 1644 of the family's 1831-position model. The record is from RNAcentral.
AGGGCACCACCAGGAGUGGAGCCUGCGGCUUAAUUUGACUCAACACGGGAAAACUUACCCGGCCCGGACACUGGAAGGAUUGACAGAUUGAGAGCUCUUUCUUGAUUCAGUGGGUGGUGGUGCAUGGCCGUUCUUAGUUGGUGGAGCGAUUUGUCUGGUUAAUUCCGAUAACGAACGAGACUCUAGCCUACUAAAUAGACUGUUCAGCUUUAUAGCCGGAAUCACUGGGCGUGUAGCUCUCCGCAAGGGGGGUUGCAUGUUCGGCUCUGGUGACGUUGGCAGUGCUUCUUAGAGGGACAGGCGGCGGUUCAGCCGCACGAAACAGAGCAAUAACAAGGUCUGUGAUGCCCUUAGAUGUCCGGGGCUGCACGCGCGCUACACUGAAGUGAUCAGCGUGCAAUUUACGUUGGUGAUCUGGUCAAGAUUGCCAAACCGUUGAACUUCUUCGUGAUGGGAUAGGGGAUUGUAAUUAAUUCCCUUGAACGAGGAAUCCCAGUAACGCAAUCAUAAACUUGCUGA